Long non-coding RNA from Anas platyrhynchos (mallard), 2497 nucleotides. RefSeq lists it as uncharacterized. NCBI's taxonomy places the organism in Eukaryota, Metazoa, Chordata, Aves, Anseriformes, Anatidae. The record is from RefSeq and is a predicted model, not a curated record.
UCUCACCUGCCUCUGCGCUAAGCAGACAAGCUGCUGUGAGCUGCUCCGGCUGAGAGGUGUGUGUGUGAAUUACAGCCUCCAGCAGGGAGGCACGGGUCCCACCAGCUAAGCCUACAGCCGAGCAAAAAGGCUGCGACCACCUGGCUGGCCCGGAGCAGGGCAGAGAUGCUCACAGCCCCUUCUGGUGCCUAUCAGCAGCAGCAGCGGUGUGUGCAGAAGGAAAGAAGGGCUAUUCAUCUCCCAAAAGAAGGGCUGUUCCCCUCCCAGAUAGAUAAGGCACUUCAGCAGAAGCUGGGGUUGAAUUUUCUGGCAGACCCUUGCACUGCACCUCUGUGAUGUCCCGGCUGAGCUGGAGCCAGCUGUUUUCCAUCCAAGCCCUUAUUUACUCCGGCUCUCAGCUGUUUGAGUGAUGGCCGAGCUCAUCUUUAACGUAGAUGUAGGGCUGGGUGGCAACGUGCUAUUGAGAAUGAGUUGUGGGCAUCUCACAGACUCUCUCAAUCUGACAUUAUUGCUGCAUGAGAAGGGAAAAAAGAGGAUAAAAAUCUGUGGCAGGCCUGGCAGGUAAAUCCUUGUGAGAAAGAACAGUUGUCCAUCACACCCUGGUUGUUAUCAGUGUGAACUGAAUGUUUUUGGGGCUGUGCUGCCAGCACUUCAGGCCAGCCAGGGCUGGGGGCCACAGCUGGAGGCAGGCUGGGCUAGGUGAUGUCCUGGUGGCGGUGGCCGUGCAAUCCCAGCGUUAUCUCUGCAUGGUGCCCAGCUGAAACAGGAGGUGGAGGGUGACAGCAGAGGGGAAGCGGUGCUGCAGUGCUUUGGAGGACAGUCCUCUGCCAAGAGAGGCCAGAAGCAGGCUGGUGGGCAGAAAACAUGAUAACGUGACUGCUUCUGCACCAGCAGGUCCGUGUUAUGGUCAUCGUUUGGCACUAGGGACAUACUGAGAAGGUUCAUGCAUCUGAGCUUCAGGUGCAACUGAUGCUUUCAGGACAUCUGUUUGCUCAGCUGAACCAAAUUUUGGGAAGGUGAUCGUCAUAUUUACCACCAACGUGGGCAGCUCUUUCUUUGGACCUUGAAAAAUUGUCCAGGGUUUGGGUUUUCACUUCUGUAAUGCAGGCCGGGAAGCUGGGACAUGAAAAGGUGCUUGAGUCCAGGCUGCAGUAAAUUCUGCAAGAAUUGACGAGUUGAUUUGCUCUCCUGUCUUGUUCCAGCCAUUGAGAUUUCGCAGAUCCCACAGCCAAAUGAAGGGGUAUCAGCAAAUCAAGGUGACCUCUAAAGCAGAGAGGCCCCUUGGAACCAGCAGCUCCAAAGACAGAGAGCGGUGGUGGUGCACAGCAGAGCCGCGUGUCAGCGUGCCCGUCCUGUGACGGGGCAUCAGCACAGGGAGGUCCCGUAAGGCCAUGAGGCUUUAGGAAGCAGGGAGAGAGGAAACUCUGACUUAUUUGUACUGUAAGUAAAAAUCUGCUGCUGUUUGUGCUCUGCUGGUUGUCCGCCUGGACCCUCUGACGGAGCAGGAGCAACUCUUUCCUUACAACUAAGAGCUACUUCUUGGCAGCUCCCCUUGCAGCACGGCUGUCACUGCUCCUGGUCUUCUCACUCUGAAAUGCCCUCACCGUUGUCCUGGAUUUCCCUGGGAGAAAUUCCCCCUGUUUCUCCCCACACUUAACAGGAGUGUCAGCAUCCACAUGAUUCCUCACGACUCCGAGACUGCCUUCCGCCGGGAACCUGCCUGCACCAAAGUCCCUGGCACAGUUUGAGCUGCAGUUUUGUCUGAUCCUUUUAAGAGUUGGGAAUGGCUGUUUUGAUGUCUCAUAUCUGUGAACAUGAAAGGCUCCUUUCCCUCUAACUGUGCAUUGGGCAGGGCAAUGCCUGUCUCUCCUAAUCAAAAAUGUAAUCAAAGAUCUCACUUCUCGUAAAAAAUGUAUUAAAAAGAAGAAACGAUGCGGCGUCUUUCUAUUGGCUUCGCUGCUGGUUUGCUCUGGUUUCUACUUCUAUGCUGCUCCCUCCUGCCUUCCACAAAAGAACCCCUACCUUCACUUUCCCCAUGUCUUGAGAGGUUUAAUUGCAAAAUGUUGAGCUUUGAAAACAACAAAAAAAAAUCAUUGUAUUUGAUUCAAGCGAAAUAUCGAUUGUCCUUGAGUUCCCGCACCGCAGAUAUCGGCGGCGUUUUGUCAGCGCAAGGAGCGAGUAAAAAGAUCACAGCAAGGAAUAAAUAUUCCAAGUGGAAGGAGAAGAAGCUGAGCCAGGAAAAUAGCGGUGCCCCAUCCCUUCCUCUCCCACAGCUGCUUCUUAAUAAAUGGUCUGUUGACCUGAUGUUAACGUUUCCAGUUUACAGUAAGCAGCAUUUCCCUUAAACAAGAUCCUGAUAAAGCGAAGCGAGGGAAUAGAGGGGGUGGAGAGCAGAUUUGCAAAACAUGCUGGAGUGAGAAAGUCAGAACAUACCGUGUGUGUCUCGGGAGUGGGAACAUGCCUCAGUGUGUGAAUAAAUAUAUAAUGUAUAGACAUA